CCUUGAAAUACCACCCUUUAAUGUUUGAUGUUCUAACGUUGACCCGUAAUCCGGGUUGCGGACAGUGUCUGGUGGGUAGUUUGACUGGGGCGGUCUCCUCCUAAAGAGUAACGGAGGAGCACGAAGGUUGGCUAAUCCUGGUCGGACAUCAGGAGGUUAGUGCAAUGGCAUAAGCCAGCUUGACUGCGAGCGUGACGGCGCGAGCAGGUGCGAAAGCAGGUCAUAGUGAUCCGGUGGUUCUGAAUGGAAGGGCCAUCGCUCAACGGAUAAAAGGUACUCCGGGGAUAACAGGCUGAUACCGCCCAAGAGUUCAUAUCGACGGCGGUGUUUGGCACCUCGAUGUCGGCUCAUCACAUCCUGGGGCUGAAGUAGGUCCCAAGGGUAUGGCUGUUCGCCAUUUAAAGUGGUACGCGAGCUGGGUUUAGAACGUCGUGAGACAGUUCGGUCCCUA
RNAcentral lists this ribosomal RNA (451 nucleotides) under Escherichia coli. Its description in RNAcentral is "partial 23S ribosomal RNA". It matches the Rfam family "Bacterial large subunit ribosomal RNA", at positions 2190 to 2640 of the family's 2925-position model. Lineage: Bacteria; Pseudomonadati; Pseudomonadota; Gammaproteobacteria; Enterobacterales; Enterobacteriaceae. The record is from RNAcentral.